Molecule: ribosomal RNA, 253 nt
Filed under: uncultured bacterium
Lineage: Bacteria
Description: partial 16S ribosomal RNA
Rfam family: Bacterial small subunit ribosomal RNA
Source: RNAcentral
UACGAAGGGCGCAAGCGUUACUCGGAAUUACUGGGCGUAAAGCGUGCGUAGGCGGUUCGUUAAGUCUGAUGUGAAAGCCCUGGGCUCAACCUGGGAAUGGCAUUGGAAACUGGCGACCUAGAGUGCGGUAGAGGGUAGUGGAAUUCCCGGUGUAGCAGUGAAAUGCGUAGAGAUCGGGAGGAACAUCUGUGGCGAAGGCGACUACCUGGACCAGCACUGACACUGAGGCACGAAAGCGUGGGGAGCAAACAGG